RNAcentral lists this ribosomal RNA (468 nucleotides) under uncultured bacterium. RNAcentral describes it as "bacterial SSU rRNA". It matches the Rfam family "Bacterial small subunit ribosomal RNA", at positions 29 to 506 of the family's 1533-position model. The record is from RNAcentral.
ACGAACGCUGGCGGCGUGCCUAACACAUGCAAGUCGAGCGGAGACAUACAAGUAGCAAUACGAGGAUGUUUUAGCGGCGGACGGGUGAGUAACGCGUGAGUAACCUGUCCCAAACUGGGGGAUAACGAGCCGAAAGGCUCACUAAUACCGCAUAAGACCACGAGGUCACAUGGCUUUGAGGUCAAAGGAGCAAUCCGGUUUGGGGUGGACUCGCGUCUGAUUAGCUAGUUGGUGGGGUAACGGCCUACCAAGGCGACGAUCAGUAGCCGACCUGAGAGGGUGAUCGGCCACAUUGGAACUGAGACACGGUCCAAACUCCUACGGGAGGCAGCAGUGGGGAAUAUUGGGCAAUGGAGGAAACUCUGACCCAGCAACGCCGCGUGAAGGAAGAAGGUUUUCGGAUCGUAAACUUCUAUCCUUGGUGAAGAUAAUGACGGUAGCCAAGAAGGAAGCCCCGGCUAACUACGU